Molecule: long non-coding RNA, 690 nt
Organism: Equus quagga
Lineage: Eukaryota; Metazoa; Chordata; Mammalia; Perissodactyla; Equidae
Exons: 4
Source: RefSeq, a predicted model, not a curated record
GAGGCUGCGCUCACGCCGCCGGUCUGCGACUUCCGGAUACCAGCCUCGAGGGGCGGGGCUUCGGAUUGACGGCUCGCGCCCGCCGGUCCCUUCCCCGCAGUCGCGCUGGCCCCGCCUCCAGGCUGCCCGGAGAGUGAACUCCCUGACACAAGGGGCCAUAUAUCUUCCAGCCCACAACAAGACCCAGCGCAAGACUGGUACAAGGCAGGCUUCAGCAGUGUUUGUUAAAUGGAAAGACUUUGAGGAUCUACAACAAAAUUAAUGGUGGUUAAAUCUGGAUCAGUGGUACCCAAACUUUGACCAACAUCAGAAUCACUGGGAGGGCUUGUUAAAACACCAAUUGCUGAGCCCCAAGCCCAGAGUUGUGUUUCAGUAAGUCUGGUGUAGGGCCCAGGAAUUUGCAUUUCUAACAAGUGCUCGAGUGAUGAUGAUGAUGAUGAUGAUGAUGAUGAUGAAGCUUCUGCUGCUGCUGCUAGUCCAGGGAGAAGAUGGCUGUCUGUGAACCAGGAAGCAGACCCUCAUCAGACACCAAAUCUGUGGGUGCAUUGAUCUUGGACAUCCCAGCCUUCAGAACUGUGAGAAAUAAAUUUCUGUUGUUUAUAAGCCACCCAGUCUAUGAUAUUCUGUUAUAGCAGCCCCAACGGACUAAGACAGUAUUUUUUCUUUUUUGUUGCUACAAUAAAUGACACC